UGAGGAAUAUUGCACAAUGGGCGAAAGCCUGAUGCAGCAACGCCGCGUGGAGGAUGACGCAUUUCGGUGUGUAAACUCCUUUUAUCAGUCAAGAAAAUGACGGUAGCUCAUGAAUAAGCACCGGCUAACUCCGUGCCAGCAGCCGCGGUAAUACGGAGGGUGCGAGCGUUACUCGGAGUCACUGGGCGUAAAGGACGCGUAGGCUGUCUUGCAAGUCAGAUGUGAAAUCCAAUGGCUCAACCAUUGAACUGCAUUUGAAACUGCUAGACUAGAGUAUGGGAGGGGGAGAUGGAAUUAGUGGUGUAGGGGUAAAAUCCGUAGAUAUCACUAGGAAUACCGAAAGCGAAGGCGAUCUCCUGGAACAUAACUGACGCUGAGGCGUGAAAGCGUGGGGAGCAAACAGG
This 404-nucleotide ribosomal RNA is filed under the name uncultured bacterium. RNAcentral's name for it is "bacterial SSU rRNA". It matches the Rfam family "Bacterial small subunit ribosomal RNA", at positions 355 to 776 of the family's 1533-position model. The record is from RNAcentral.